GAUGAACGCUGGCGGCGUGCUUAAUACAUGCAAGUCUAUCGAACAGACGAGGUUCUUGAUCCUCUGACAUUAGCGGCGGACGGUUGAGUAACACGUGGAUAACCUACCUAUAAGACUGGGAUAACUUCGGGAAACCGGAGCUAAUACAGGAUAAUAUAUUGAACCGCAUGGUUUAAUAGUGAAAGACGGUUUUGCUGUCACUUGUAGAUGGUUACCCUCCACAUUAGCUAGUUGGUAAGCUAACCGCUUACAAAGUGAACGAGGAGUAGCCGACCUGAGAGAGUGUACGGACACAGUGGAACUGAGACACGGUCCAGACUCCUACGGAAGGCAGCAGUAGAGACUUUUCGGCAAUGGGCGUAAGGAUGACGGAACAAUGCCGCGUGAGUGAUGCAGGUCUUCGGAUCUUAAAACUCUGUUAUUAGGGAAGAACAAAUGUGUAAGUAACGAUACAAAUAUUGACGGUACCUGAUCAGAAAGCCACGGCUAAAUACGUG
Molecule: ribosomal RNA, 497 nt
Filed under: uncultured bacterium
Lineage: Bacteria
Description: partial 16S ribosomal RNA
Rfam family: Bacterial small subunit ribosomal RNA
Source: RNAcentral